ACUUAUUUAGUUUAAAUUUGAAUAGUAUUUUGAAAAGAUACAGGUUUUUUAAGUA
RNAcentral lists this transfer RNA (55 nucleotides) under Acanthocheilonema viteae. Its description in RNAcentral is "tRNA-Phe". The record is from RNAcentral. Lineage: Eukaryota; Metazoa; Nematoda; Chromadorea; Rhabditida; Onchocercidae.